GACAGCCAGGAUGUUGGCUUAGAAGCAGCCAUCAUUUAAAGAAAGCGUAAUAGCUCACUGGUCGAGUCGGCCUGCGCGGAAGAUGUAACGGGGCUAAACCAUGCACCGAAGCUGCGGCAGCGACGCUGAUGCGUUGUUGGGUAGGGGAGCGUUCUGUAAGCCUGUGAAGGUGUGCUGUGAGGCAUGCUGGAGGUAUCAGAAGUGCGAAUGCUGACAUAAGUAACGAUAAAGCGGGUGAAAAGCCCGCUCGCCGGAAGACCAAGGGUUCCUGUCCAACGUUAAUCGGGGCAGGGUGAGUCGACCCCUAAGG
This 310-nucleotide ribosomal RNA is filed under the name Escherichia coli. RNAcentral's name for it is "partial 23S ribosomal RNA". It matches the Rfam family "Bacterial large subunit ribosomal RNA", at positions 1088 to 1396 of the family's 2925-position model. The record is from RNAcentral. Lineage: Bacteria; Pseudomonadati; Pseudomonadota; Gammaproteobacteria; Enterobacterales; Enterobacteriaceae.